RNAcentral lists this ribosomal RNA (478 nucleotides) under uncultured bacterium. Its description in RNAcentral is "partial 16S ribosomal RNA". It matches the Rfam family "Bacterial small subunit ribosomal RNA", at positions 28 to 507 of the family's 1533-position model. The record is from RNAcentral.
GAUGAACGCUAGCGGCAGGCCUAACACAUGCAAGUCGAGGGAGAAGCCCUUUCGGGGGCAGAAACCGGCGCACGGGUGCGUAACGCGUAUGCAACCUACCUUUCACAGGGGGAUAGCCCGAAGAAAUUUGGAUUAAUACCCCAUAAUAUUAUUGGAUGGCAUCAUUUGAUAAUUAAAACUGCGGUGGUGAAAGAUGGGCAUGCGUCCUAUUAGCUAGUUGGAGUGGUAACGGCACCCCAAGGCUACGAUAGGUAGGGGUCCUGAGAGGGAGAUCCCCCACACUGGUACUGAGACAGGGACCAGAAUCCUACGGGAGGCAGCAGUGAGGAAUAUUGGUCAAUGGUCGGAAGACUGAACCAGCCAUGCCGCGUGCAGGAAGAAUGCCUUAUGGGUUGUAAACUGCUUUUAUAUGGGAAGAAUAAGGCGUACGUGUACGUUGAUGACGGUACCAUAUGAAUAAGCAUCGGCUAACUCCGUG